RNAcentral lists this ribosomal RNA (465 nucleotides) under Vreelandella stevensii. Its description in RNAcentral is "partial 16S ribosomal RNA". It matches the Rfam family "Bacterial small subunit ribosomal RNA", at positions 338 to 795 of the family's 1533-position model. The record is from RNAcentral. Lineage: Bacteria; Pseudomonadati; Pseudomonadota; Gammaproteobacteria; Oceanospirillales; Halomonadaceae.
CCUACGGGAGGCAGCAGUGGGGAAUUUUGGACAAUGGGGGGAACCCUGAUCCAGCCAUGCCGCGUGUGUGAAGAAGGCCCUCGGGUUGUAAAGCACUUUCAGUGAGGAAGAACGCCUGGUGGUUAAUACCCAUCAGGAAAGACAUCACUCACAGAAGAAGCACCGGCUAACUCCGUGCCAGCAGCCGCGGUAAUACGGAGGGUGCGAGCGUUAAUCGGAAUUACUGGGCGUAAAGCGCGCGUAGGUGGCUUGAUAAGCCGGUUGUGAAAGCCCCGGGCUCAACCUGGGAACGGCAUCCGGAACUGUCAAGCUAGAGUGCAGGAGAGGAAGGUAGAAUUCCCGGUGUAGCGGUGAAAUGCGUAGAGAUCGGGAGGAAUACCAGUGGCGAAGGCGGCCUUCUGGACUGACACUGACACUGAGGUGCGAAAGCGUGGGUAGCAAACAGGAUUAGAUACCCGAGUAGUC